RNAcentral lists this ribosomal RNA (406 nucleotides) under uncultured bacterium. RNAcentral describes it as "partial 16S ribosomal RNA". It matches the Rfam family "Bacterial small subunit ribosomal RNA", at positions 30 to 526 of the family's 1533-position model. The record is from RNAcentral.
AUUGAACGCUGGCGGCAGGCCUAACACAUGCAAGUCGAGCGAGCGGCGGAUGGGUGAGUAAUGUCUGGGAAACUGCCUGAUGUAGGGGGAUAACUACUGGAAACGGUAGCUAAUAUCGCAUACACUCGCAUGUGCCCACAUGGGAUUAGCUAGUAGGUGGGGUAACGGCUCACCUCGGCGACGAUCCCUAGCUGGUCUGAGAGGAUGACCAGCCACACUGUAACUAAGACAUGGUCCAGACUCCUACGGGAGGCAGCGGUGGGGAAUAUUGCACAAUGGGCGCAAGCCUGAUGCAGCCAUGCCGCGUGUGUGAAGAAGGCCUUCGGGUUGUAAAGCACUUUCAGCUGGGAGGCGUUACCCGCAGAAGAAGCACCGGCUAACUCCGUGCCAGCAGCCGCGGUAAUAC